UCAUGUGAUUUCCCUUCAUAGGGAUGACUAACUUUUUGUACGGGAUCUCAGACGAGGUGAAACAGAGGCACCGGGAACAUCUCUUUGCCGUCUCCAAGGAGAACCUGAUUGAUGCAGCCGCCAAGUACCUGGCUGCUGGGAAGAGCACAAAAGGAUUGACCAUCCUUGGACCAGAAAACCCGGACACUGUCAAAGACCCUUCGUGGGUUAUUCAAUAACGUCUGCUGUUGGGUUGACUUCGGCAACAUCAAACCCAUUCAUGGGGCGACCAACCAAAGUUGAAACUCUGAAACCUCCCUCCGUGCCCGGGUGCUAUCAGGGCAAGGAGCUGUCAGCACGGUGCCAUUUUCAGGGAGCGUCGAACCUGCCAUCAUGGUUUUAUGGAAGAGUCCAUCCUGUGUCUUUCAUAAGAAACUCUUAGGCCUGAACCCGACUGUUCUUCUCCACGGCCAGUACCGCAGUGUAAAAUUCAGUUGCAGGGGCUAAUGAUCAAGGUAUGGGUUGUGUAACUGAGACCUCAUUGACUCCAUGAGGUGCAGCUGUUUCCAUGACUCUCCUAUUGCCCAUGGAAAAAGGAGGAUUUGGUUUUUUCCCCCAAACUUAAGGUCUACAUGACAGCUCUAGUCCAGCUCAAGUCAGGAGUAGCCACGGAAGCCCUUGUUCUAACCAGAGAUGCUUGUUCUACCUGGACACAGUUUUAGCUAGAUCAUGCGCAACACCGUAAUAGUAUCCAAAUGUUUUGGAGAGGCACGAAAUUAAGCUGUCAAGUGAGUUAUCUUAAAUCAUGGUGUUAAUAAAAUGUUUUGAAUGGUAA
Non-coding RNA from Pogona vitticeps (central bearded dragon), 814 nucleotides. NCBI's taxonomy places the organism in Eukaryota, Metazoa, Chordata, Lepidosauria, Squamata, Agamidae. The record is from RefSeq and is a predicted model, not a curated record.